Hypanus sabinus (Atlantic stingray) is the source of this 298-nucleotide long non-coding RNA. RefSeq lists it as uncharacterized. The record is from RefSeq and is a predicted model, not a curated record. Lineage: Eukaryota; Metazoa; Chordata; Chondrichthyes; Myliobatiformes; Dasyatidae. The transcript has 3 exons.
ACAGGUAACGAUGAUGUAAUUCUGAUAAAACUGCAUGCCUGGGCAGCCUUGCAGCACCUGGUCCAAUGCUUUCUGACAGAGUGCAGGCGCAGAUGCUACUCCAAAAGCUUCAGUUCAGUAUCUUUGAAAUGCCAUUCAAACUCAUUCUGUGGAAUGAAUGAAACAGCAUGCAUCACACCUCAUAAGACAUUGUUGUACCGAUUCCAAUUAAAAUAUCAUGAAGGAAAUAAAAUCCUUGCCUUGUAUUGCACCCUGCCGCUUCGUGAAAAGGUUUGAGUGCUGUGUGUCGUAGCCGUGG